CAGGGCACCCUUCUUCAGGGUGUUGGCUCCUAAAUACCGUCAGCUGCACUAAAUCCCUCCCAGCUGGCAGUGCCUCCCUGAGUUCCAGAUGAGAACCCUCCAAAACCCAGGCCACUGGCUGGCUUGGUGGAGCCACUUCCCAUGGACAGUGCUGGGGUGGGGUCCCUUCCACGGUGUGCCCAAACACCCCAUCUCGCUAGAACACUCCAUUACCUGGUUUCUUCCAUUGCCCAGGUGUUAUCAGACCGAUCCAGGUACUGACGGGGGAGCAUCGUGCCUCCUGCUGAAGGAAGGCCCAGGGCCAUGAAGGCUGCAAGAGUAAAACUUGCCAGACUGAGAACACAGCUCCAAGCAGCGUGUCUGCAAAUGAGGUGGGAAUGCGAGGCUGGUGUGAGGACAGCUGCUCACACCUUGGAGCUACGUACACUAUGUGUCAGUCACUAAGGAGAAAUUGCAUGCACAGCAACUCCAGAGCUGGCUGGCUUCACUGGAACCAGGAUCCAAUCUUCCCUGAAACGCCCCUCACAACACGAUCUCUCAGUUCCCCUGAGCAUCCUUGCAGCCCUUCUUUGGAGUCCUCUUUCUUGACCCCGGGUGCCCCGAACGGUGCGUGCCCCGAACGGCGCGUGCUGAUCCAGCUGAGCUGCCCCCACGGCCUGGUACCAUGGCAGCAGGCUCAAGAACGCUUCAGCUGCCAGCACCUGAAGGCUACUGACUAUUGACUCUGAUCCUACAAUAGGAUCUCACAGGGUGUUUGUGGCAGGACCAGGGCCUAGGCCAGCUAGGGGUGAGUGAAUUGUUCUUCUCCAGAGGGGGACAAGGAGAGGCUUGAACGUUUGGGCUGGGGAAAGGACAGGGGCAGCUGGUGUGGGUGAAAGAGAAGGGACAGUUGUGGCGGGGGGAGGGGAGUUAAUGUUUCACACCCAGCCCUCCCACUCCUGUAAGUCACAAAGUUCAGGCCUGCCAGGCCCAGCCCCUCAGCUCACCUGCUAUACCCCUCCCCUGUCUCUUGGGUUUGUAUUGUGUGGGGCAGGGUUUCCCGAGAAGGGCAGCUAUCAGCCAGGGAGCCAAGCCCCUGAGCUAGUGUGGCUGGGGGUGAGGGGUUACCUCCCAGCCAGCAUCCUGCAGCAGGUACAUUAUUAGGACCAGGUGUAUAACGUGGGGGUGCCAGCGGUGCUUCGGGCUGAGCAGGGAGGCAGUGUGCCAAGCCCUGCACCCACGCUGAGACCCCCCUGGCCCUGAAGAGCUCCCCCGCCCCCCAGGAAGGGGAGAGGGAAUGGAAAGUUGUUCUCUGCGUUUUGCAGCUGGGAACUGCUGGGGCUGCAGUGACUGGCCCAGGGUCCCACAGAGGACUAGAGCCCGGCUCGAUCGGAGUCCCAGCCCGGGGCCUCCUCUCAGCUUGUGUCCGAUGGCGGGGAGGGGGGCAAAGCCAGGAGACGAUCGAGCAGGCUCCGGCUGCCGGGCGCUGCUGGCUGGGCAGUGCCAGAGCGGGGACCCCCUCCCAUGGGCUCUCCCGGGACACAGGACCAGCCCCUCCCCCGCCUGGGGAGCCGC
Long non-coding RNA from Chelonia mydas (Green sea turtle), 1554 nucleotides. RefSeq lists it as uncharacterized. Lineage: Eukaryota; Metazoa; Chordata; Testudines; Cheloniidae. The transcript is spliced from 3 exons. The record is from RefSeq and is a predicted model, not a curated record.